GGUCUUGUAGUGAAGUUCAUGUUGAGUUGCAAGCUCAUCGAUGCAUAUUGAAGAUGUGCCGGGACCU
This 67-nucleotide transfer RNA is filed under the name Tockus erythrorhynchus (red-billed hornbill). RNAcentral's name for it is "tRNA-Cys". Lineage: Eukaryota; Metazoa; Chordata; Aves; Bucerotiformes; Bucerotidae. The record is from RNAcentral.